CCUACGGGUGGCAGCAGUGAGGAAUAUUGGUCAAUGGACGAGAGUCUGAACCAGCCAAGUAGCGUGAAGGAUGACUGCCCUAUGGGUUGUAAACUUCUUUUAUAAAGGAAUAAAACGAGGCACGUGUGCCUUUUUGUAUGUACUUUAUGAAUAAGGAUCGGCUAACUCCGUGCCAGCAGCCGCGGUAAUACGGAGGAUCCGAGCGUUAUCCGGAUUUAUUGGGUUUAAAGGGAGCGUAGAUGGGUUGUUAAGUCAGUUGUGAAAGUUUGCGGCUCAACCGUAAAAUUGCAAUUGAUACUGGCAGUCUUGAGUACAGUAGAGGUAGGCGGAAUUCGUGGUGUAGCGGUGAAAUGCUUAGAUAUCACGAAGAACCCCGAUUGCGAAGGCAGCUUACUAAACUGUGACUGACAUUGAGGCUCGAAAGUGUGGGUAUCAAACAGGAUUAGAUACCCUAGUAGUC
Molecule: ribosomal RNA, 460 nt
Filed under: uncultured bacterium
Lineage: Bacteria
Description: partial 16S ribosomal RNA
Rfam family: Bacterial small subunit ribosomal RNA
Source: RNAcentral